GUGGGGAUGUUGAAGGGAGGAGAAACAAUUAUUUAUUUAUGACUGGGGAGUUAUGGUUCUCAAAGAAGACCUGAAACUGGGACAGCAAAAAAUACCAAAAAUGUCCACUGUAUGUAGCUUUAUAUCUCAGUUGUCUUAUUCUUUGUAUCCUAAUACCAAAGGGAAAGGAAUGUUGGGGGGAACUGUGAGGGUAGAACAUGCCUCUACUGAGAAUGCACAAUUUCUCUUAAAUUGCACCACGAAGCAUGAUUUAGGAGGGGACUGUGUUUCCACCACAAAAAUAAGAAACUAUCCACAGUAUGAAUUGUGAAAACUAAAUUAUAUUUAUCUUCUAUUGCUCUCAUGUCAUGCUUCGGGCACUUUUAAUAAUGACUAUUUAAUUGUUUCAGUUCAAUCUGAUGCUCCUAAAUAUAAGAAUGGAGACUAUUUGAAUAUUAAUUUUGCGUAAAAAAAAAAUACUAUACAUCUUCAGAUUCUUGUUAUUAAAUGUAAAACUGAUAGUUCACAGAUUAAAAUAGACAUUUUGUCCAGAAAAGGAAGAUGGGUUUUCAUGGCAUCUAUUAAGAAACUACUGUAUUUCAGGGCAAGCAUUUGUUUUAGAUCCAGGUUGGAAAUCAGUCAAAUAACAUCUGGUUUGUCCUUAAUCUCAAUGUAUCAGUUAUAUCUAUUUGUCACAGGCACAAUUGUAAGCUUUCCUAUACCUGUUUAAUGGUGGCAUUAAUUUUAAGAUUCAAGGGCAAACUACAUUAUGAUUUGAAAUGUGCUGCAUUUUUUUUUUACAUUGUUAUUGUUUUGUUGGUAUUACUACGCAAUGUAAGUUCUAUUUCAUCUUGGAUGUACAUAGUCUCAUAACGAUACACUUCUUACAGGUGAGGAAAAGCACGACAAAGCCCAAAGAGGUUUGAGCCUGAAAUUAGAGCAUUAGGAAUGGAUUCACUUUGAGACCAAGUCAUCAGACAUGUUGAUACAAAUCUUAUCAAAUCAAACUGGUUUAUUGCUGUAUUAUUAUGGACCUAAUGAUUUGAGUUGAAAUAAGCAAAGCAAUUUCAAUCAGAUUAAAAGAAGAAACGUGUAUGAUAAUCAUCUGUAUAUGACAGGGAUCAUCAACUAGAUUCAGCCACGGGCUGAUUUGUUUUUUUCUUGAGCGGAUGGUCAGGGGGCAGGAACAUAAUUACAAAUGAUUUGUAGACUGCAAAUUGACCGCAAGAAGCCCAAACAGAUAAUAUUUAGCUAAAACAAUAAUUUCAAACCUUGCUUACGUUUGUAUACGAUCACAUAUCUAUCUAUUAUGUGUGGGUAAUACUUUGGAACAGAUUCCUAAAAUUAAAAUCACAGAGUUGGUGUUUUUAGUCUUUUAUGUCAGAACUUGGGGGUCAAAUAAAAUCGCCCACAGCCAGCCAGUUGGGGAUCCCUGGUAUAUGAGAAAGACUUCUACAAAGUGUGUUAAACUCUGACUUUUCAACAUUUGGACUCUUGUUUGCAUGAUUUCAUCCCUUCCUUUUUUUUGUUUUAUAAAAAAGGGCUCAAACCAUUCCUCUGUAGAAAUUAAAACAGUGACCCAGUUUUGAAUAUUAUCAAUAAUUCUAUUGAUGGUUUAAUUAAUUGCUUCUUAAUCUGUUUUACUUUUGUGAAUGUUUGUCAUUUGUAUGUCAAAUCACAAUCAUUAUAUUUUGUAAUGUGUUAACAUUACACUUAUCGCCUAUCACAGGUAUAAUCAG
This 1718-nucleotide long non-coding RNA is filed under the name Salmo salar (Atlantic salmon). Its description in RNAcentral is "lncRNA (ENSSSAG00000112965.1)". Lineage: Eukaryota; Metazoa; Chordata; Actinopteri; Salmoniformes; Salmonidae. The record is from RNAcentral.